AGGUAAUGUCUGGGAAACGGCCUGAUGGAGGGGGAUAACUACUGGAAACGGUAGCUAAUACCGCAUAACGUCGCAAGACCAAAGAGGGGACCGUUCGGGCCUCAUGCCAUCAGAUGUGCCCAGAUGGGAUUAGCUAGUAGGUGGGGUAACGGCUCACCUAGGCGACGAUCCCUAGCUGGUCUGAGAGGAUGACCAGCCACACUGGAACUGAGACACGGUCCAG
Molecule: ribosomal RNA, 223 nt
Filed under: uncultured bacterium
Lineage: Bacteria
Description: partial 16S ribosomal RNA
Rfam family: Bacterial small subunit ribosomal RNA
Source: RNAcentral